CGGGAAGUAGCGUAAUUUGGCUAUCGCGCCUGCUUUGGGAGCAGGAGAUUGUGGGUUCAAAUCCCGCCUUCCCGA
This 75-nucleotide transfer RNA is filed under the name Endomicrobium sp. RNAcentral's name for it is "tRNA-Pro". It matches the Rfam family "tRNA". From Rfam's summary of the family: Transfer RNA (tRNA) molecules are approximately 80 nucleotides in length. Their secondary structure includes four short double-helical elements and three loops (D, anti-codon, and T loops). Further hydrogen bonds mediate the characteristic L-shaped molecular structure. tRNAs have two regions of fundamental functional importance: the anti-codon, which is responsible for specific mRNA codon recognition, and the 3' end, to which the tRNAs corresponding amino acid is attached (by aminoacyl-tRNA synthetases). tRNAs cope with the degeneracy of the genetic code in two manners: having more than one tRNA (with a specific anti-codon) for a particular amino acid; and 'wobble' base-pairing, i.e. permitting non-standard base-pairing at the 3rd anti-codon position. The record is from RNAcentral. Lineage: Bacteria; Pseudomonadati; Elusimicrobiota; Endomicrobiia; Endomicrobiales; Endomicrobiaceae.